AAAAACGUGAGGUCUGUAAGUUUCCGUGUUCAUAUUUUAAUCGCUUCGGGAUUUUAAGAUUAGGUUACACAAAAAACAACCAAUACUGUAGCAAAUAACCCUUUUAACAAUACCUAGAUCAUGAUUACAAUGAGGUUAUUCAAAGAAAUGUGCCUUUGUGCAUUCAUGCUUUCCUUUUAAUGCAAAAUUCCCAACAUAAGGCAACAGUCAGAGAUGGUACUCAUGUUAGCACACCCAGGCUACAUCUAGACUAACUUGUCUGCGCUCAACAAAUACAAUUGACCUUAAAACGUGACAAAUUGACCGGAUUGGUUCAGGAUUCUGUAAGGGUUAGAGAAAUCAAAAUACAUCAUUAAUUGCAUGAGUGAAAAACUGGUUGGUUUAGUCCUGGUCAGUGUUGGGGAGUAACGGAUUACAUGUACCGGAGUUACGUAAUCAGAGUACAAAUUAUGAGUAACUGUUACUGUUCCAGUGAGUGGUAAUUAGAUUACAGUUACUUGGUUGAAAUAAAUAAAUUACACAGAGGUAUUUAGCUUUUUUAAUAUUUAAUUCUAUAUCCUUUUUUUUUUUUUUUUUUUUUUGGUAAUUUCACUCAUUGCCGGACAUUAAACCAGGUCUAAAACCAGGUCUAAAACCAGGUCUAAGCCAGGCCUAAACCAGGUCUAAAACCAGGACUAAAACCAGGUCUAAAACCAGGUCUAAAACCAGGUCUAAGCCAGGCCUAAACCAGGUCUAA
Boleophthalmus pectinirostris (great blue-spotted mudskipper) is the source of this 736-nucleotide long non-coding RNA. RefSeq lists it as uncharacterized. Lineage: Eukaryota; Metazoa; Chordata; Actinopteri; Gobiiformes; Gobiidae. The record is from RefSeq and is a predicted model, not a curated record. The transcript has 3 exons.